AGAUUGAACGCUGGCGGCACGCCUUACACAUGCAAGUCGAACGGCAGCACGGGAGCAAUCCUGGUGGCGAGUGGCGAACGGGUGAGUAAUAUAUCGGAACGUGCCCAGUCGUGGGGGAUAACGUAGAGAAAUUUACGCUAAUACCGCAUACGAUCCAAGGAUGAAA
RNAcentral lists this ribosomal RNA (166 nucleotides) under uncultured soil bacterium. RNAcentral's name for it is "partial 16S ribosomal RNA". It matches the Rfam family "Bacterial small subunit ribosomal RNA", at positions 26 to 205 of the family's 1533-position model. The record is from RNAcentral.